This is a non-coding RNA of Ixodes scapularis (black-legged tick), 73 nucleotides long. NCBI's taxonomy places the organism in Eukaryota, Metazoa, Arthropoda, Arachnida, Ixodida, Ixodidae. The record is from Rfam.
CCCUGGUUAGCUAUGUUGGUAGAGCGCUCCACCUGUAAUGGAGAGGUCCCGGGUUCGAUACCCGGACCAGGCG